ACUCAAUAGAUACCCUGGUAGUCCUGGCCCUAAACGUUGGGUACUAGGUUGUGGGCCGGACAUGGGCUCACAGCCGAAAGCAAAAAAAGUGCUAAGUACCCCGCCUGGGGAGUAUGGUCGCAAGGCUGAAACUCAAAGAAAUUGACGGGGGCUCACACAAGCGGUGGAGCAUGUGGCUUAAUUCGAGGCUACGCGAAGAACCUUAUCCUGGACUUGACAUGUGCGAAAGCGUUGGCAGGUAGGACCCGGAAACGGGAACGAACGGUAUCCAACCCGGAAGCCAACACAGGUGCUGCAUGGCUGUCGUCAGCUCGUGUCGUGAGAUGUC
This 328-nucleotide ribosomal RNA is filed under the name uncultured bacterium. Its description in RNAcentral is "bacterial SSU rRNA". It matches the Rfam family "Bacterial small subunit ribosomal RNA", at positions 770 to 1076 of the family's 1533-position model. The record is from RNAcentral.